AUGCAGACCAGUUAACGUUGUAGCCCAACUCUUAAGUACUUGGCUUGAGCAAUAGAGGCAAAGUACCAUAUAAGGUUUGAAAUUAUUUCCAACUUCCUCAUCCUUCAAAUUUCAAUAAAUUGAUAAAAGAUUCCUACAGGGCAGUUGCUGAAUACUAAGGCCUCCCAUUAAAAUAGUAAGUUUUGUCACAUAUCCCUUGUUUUAAUAAUUUUGAACCACAAAAAUGUACAAUAAAGCAUCUGAAUAGCAGCGAAUUCUGUCAGGAACUGAGUUCAAAACUAAAGCCAUAGGUAGCCA
Molecule: unclassified non-coding RNA, 297 nt
Filed under: Hevea brasiliensis (rubber tree)
Lineage: Eukaryota; Viridiplantae; Streptophyta; Magnoliopsida; Malpighiales; Euphorbiaceae
Source: RNAcentral